This 254-nucleotide ribosomal RNA is filed under the name uncultured bacterium. RNAcentral's name for it is "partial 16S ribosomal RNA". It matches the Rfam family "Bacterial small subunit ribosomal RNA", at positions 524 to 776 of the family's 1533-position model. The record is from RNAcentral.
UACGUAGGUGGCGAGCGUUGUCCGGAUUUACUGGGCGUAAAGGGCGUGCAGGCGGUUUGUUAAGUGCAGGGUGAAAGCUCCCGGCUCAACUGGGAGAGGUCCUUGCAUACUGGCGAACUCGAGGGAGGCAGAGGAAAGUGGAAUUCCCGGUGUAGUGGUGAAAUGCGUAGAUAUCGGGAGGAACACCGGUGGCGAAGGCGGUUCUCUGGGCAUUACCUGACGCUGAGGAGCGAAAGUGUGGGGGAGCGAACAGG